This is a long non-coding RNA of Bombus pascuorum, 1533 nucleotides long. RefSeq lists it as uncharacterized. Lineage: Eukaryota; Metazoa; Arthropoda; Insecta; Hymenoptera; Apidae. The record is from RefSeq and is a predicted model, not a curated record. The transcript is spliced from 2 exons.
AUAAUCAUAUUUAAUCAUACCUAUAAUCAUAUUCUAAGGCGACAAUGGGAAAUUUUCACAACUCGAGGGUCUAACCUACGAGCAAUCAUUCAACAAUUACGAAUAUUCCUUGUGUCGGGAGCAUCGUUUGCCAUUGUCCACUAUCGCGUAAAUCUUAUCUUAUUUCACCGUUCUGGAGGAGCAACUAGACGCUGUAAAGCUUGGUUGAAGCAAUUCUUGAAUCGUGCAUCGUGAACCAGCGUAUCAAUUUAGUCAGUCGAAGCACCACGAUGUAGCAGUGUAACUUUAAAAACGCACGUCCACCUUAUGACACGGUGUUCGUUUAAAUAUCGCCCAUAAGUACGCGCGUUUCGACUAUGUGCUUCGUGCUUUUAUUUCAAAAGCAGUUUCGCGCUUCCUGGGCAGUGGAUAUCUUCGUAGAGUCACCGUGGCGCCAAGGAAAUGCGCAUAGACGAUUUUUACGCGCGACGGGAUUACCUCGUUGAUGGUGCCAAAUAUCCGAAGCUCGGCUAAACAGUACACAACGGUUCGUUUCGCUUUACAACGCGUCGUAAAGCAGCCAGGAGCCAGCCUCGCGAUCCUCGAAGCCGAUCGAUCGUUUCCACGCUGCUGAGAACUUUUACGUAGUCAUCGAAGACGCAGGGUAGGUAAUCCAAGAUCGAGAGCGCCGACAGCCGAGCUUAUUCCGCGCAAUACCCAGGAACAAGAAGGUAUAAAGUUUGCAUUGAGAAUGAUAAGGAAUCGAUAUGAGUUUACAGAGGAACGAACCAGGUUUCCUAGCGCACCUGUUCGCGCACUGGUUUCUCCUUUUUCUAUCUUCAUCGUCGUUCCUCCUGUCGUCAGUUCUCCUUUCGAUCCGGAUCUCCUCGCCUCUGUCGUUCUUCCCUUUAACUUAAUGCUAUCAUCGAGGCUUUAUUCUGGAAAGGUUCGAGCGGUUCUGGUACCGAGCGUAAGCCGACCAACGUCUCUUAUAUUUCUUUCUCUUCUGCUUCCAUCGUUCUGUCGCUUUCUACUUCUCUUCUCUUCUCCCUUUUUUCCGUUCGUUCUCUUACUACUUCGCUCGGCUCGUCAGCGUUGUAGAUGACUUUCCAGAUAUCUUUCGAGAUAGUCGUUCUCUCGGGAGGAUAGGCUGCGACCGAAAGAUACUGCUAAGAAAUCGUUGGUGACAAGCCCAGUCUUACAGAAUUUUUUAAUCUUAAAAGAAAGAAAGAAAGUUCGACGCCUGCAUCUCUUGCUGAACUCUCCAGUCGGUCGUGGAAAGGAUCAGAUAAGAGAUAGAUGAAGGAAUAAUGGUUACAACGGUAAUCAACGCGCCCGUUACGGUGUGACUAAUGAAUGCGUAGGAGUUUCUAUCGACUGGGGAAAGAAGGAUGAAGUUCGUCGUCUUCUUGGCAGCAGAAUCACAUUACAAACAAAAAUUUAAAAAUUGUGUAAAACAAGUGCUAAGCGUCUACUACAGACAGUGGAGCGUAUAAGCGGGAGUCAUAAAAAAAUUCUAAUACAAUGUUUAAUAAAACGUUUUCCAUGAGACAA